GGCUGAUCCGUGGGUUUCCUUCUUUGGAUGUGCCGGCUGGGACGUUCAUGGCACGGAAGAGCUGGGAUUUUGAUCUUGUAAGGAAGGAGACGCGGAAGAGACGCUGGGAUGGAGCUGUGAUCGCGGUUGACACGCGGUUGAGGGGCUGGAGACGCGUUGGGGACGAGCUGGCCGCGAUGUGUGAUACGCUGAUUUGGGAAGGAGCUAUAGACGGA
This 215-nucleotide long non-coding RNA is filed under the name Phoenix dactylifera (date palm). Its description in RNAcentral is "long non-coding RNA (PDAC_LNC004068)". Lineage: Eukaryota; Viridiplantae; Streptophyta; Magnoliopsida; Arecales; Arecaceae. The record is from RNAcentral.